AUUGAACGCUGGCGGCAUGCCUAACACAUGCAAGUCGAACGGCAGCACAGUAUGUAGCAAUACAUAUGGGUGGCGAGUGGCGGACGGGUGCGUAAUAUGUAGGGAUCUGCCCUGAAGCGGGGGACAACCCGGGGAAACCCGGGCUAAUACCGCAUAAUACUCUACGGAGGAAAUCUGGCACGCAAGUGCUGGGGCUUUAGGAUGAACCUACAUCCGAUUAGCUAGUUGGUGAGGUAAUAGCUCACCAAGGCAAUGAUCGGUAGCUGGUCUGAGAGAAUGACCAGCCACACUGGGACAGAGACACGGCCCAGACUCCUACGGGAGGCAGCAGUGGGGAAUAUUGGACAAUGGGGGAAACCCUGAUCCAGCAAUGCCGCGUGGGUGAAGAAGGCCUUCGGGUUGUAAAGCCCUUUAGGCGGGGAAGAAGGUUAUAGGGUGAUAAGCCUUAUAGCUUGACGGUACCCGCAGAAUAAGCACCGGCUAACUCUGUGCCAGCAGCCGCCGUAA
Molecule: ribosomal RNA, 507 nt
Filed under: uncultured bacterium
Lineage: Bacteria
Description: partial 16S ribosomal RNA
Rfam family: Bacterial small subunit ribosomal RNA
Source: RNAcentral